GCCGGCACCGUGAACUCGUGCGACGUGAUGGUGGGCGUGCACGGGGCGGGGCUGACCAACAUGGUGUUCCUCCCCACCAACGCCGUGCUGAUCCAAGUGGUGCCGCUGGCGAAGCUGGAUUGGAUAGCGGCGAACUACUACGCGGAGCCUGCCAAGGGGAUGAAGCUGCGGUACUUGCAGUACGAGAUAAGCGAGGAGGAAAGCACGCUGAUCGAGCUGUAUCCCAGAGACCACAAGGUGUUCAAGGAUCCGGACUCGAUUCACAAGCAAGGGUGGAAGAAGAUGGGGGAGGUGUACCUGCGGAAGCAGAACGUGAAGCUUAAUGUGAACCGAUUCCGACCGGUCCUGGAGAAGGCGCUGCAGCUUCUCAAAGAGAAAGCAGAGCACACGAGAGAGUAAGCCAGAGAUUUUACAGUCGAUAUUAUCCGGUAGAUAUGUUCUUUUUC
This 446-nucleotide long non-coding RNA is filed under the name Musa acuminata (dwarf banana). Its description in RNAcentral is "long non-coding RNA (MACU_LNC006628)". Lineage: Eukaryota; Viridiplantae; Streptophyta; Magnoliopsida; Zingiberales; Musaceae. The record is from RNAcentral.